RNAcentral lists this ribosomal RNA (1234 nucleotides) under metagenome. Its description in RNAcentral is "bacterial LSU rRNA". It matches the Rfam family "Bacterial large subunit ribosomal RNA", at positions 1564 to 2808 of the family's 2925-position model. The record is from RNAcentral.
UGAAUACGAGACGCUAAGGCGUCGAAGUAGUGUAUGUCAUACUUCCAAGAAAAGCUUGCACUGUCAUAGAUAAAAAACGCCUGUACCAUAACCGACACAGGUGGGUAGGUAGAGUAUACUAAGGGGCGCGAGAUAACUCUCUCUAAGGAACUCGGCAAAAUAACUCCGUAACUUCGGGAGAAGGAGUGCCUUAUUCGUAAGGUUGCAAUAACAAGAUCCAAGCAACUGUUUAUCAAAAACACAGGUCUCCGCUAAGUCGUAAGACGAUGUAUGGGGGCUGACGCCUGCCCAGUGCCAGAAGGUUAAAGAAGUUGGUUAGCAAUUGCGAAGCUGAUAACUGAAGCCCUGGUGAACGGCGGCCGUAACUAUAACGGUCCUAAGGUAGCGAAAUUCCUUGUCGGGUAAGUUCCGACCCGCACGAAAGGCGUAAUGAUUUGGAUACUGUCUCGGAGAGGGGCUCGGUGAAAUAGACUUGUCUGUGAAGAUGCGGACUACCUGCACCAGGACAGAAAGACCCUAUGAAGCUUUACUGUAACUUGGAAUUGAAAUUGGACUUUAUUCGCGCAGCAUAGGUGGGAGGCGUUGAUUAUAAUCUUGCGGGAUUAUUGGAGCCAUCAGUGAGAUACCACUCUUGUAAUGUUAGAUUUCUAACUUUGAAUCAUUAUCUGGUCAAAGAACAGUUUCAGGCGGGCAGUUUGACUGGGGCGGUCGCCUCCUAAACGGUAACGGAGGCGUACAAAGGUUCCCUCUGAACGGUUAGAAAUCGUAUCUAGAGUGUAAAGGCAUAAGGAAGCUUGACUGUGAGACCUACAAGUCGAGCAGGGACGAAAGUCGGUCUUAGUGAUCUGACGGUACUGAGUGGAAAGGCCGUCACUCAACGGAUAAAAGUUACUCUAGGAUAACAGGCUGAUCUCCCCCAAGAGUUCACAUCGACGGGGAGGUUUGGCACCUCGAUGUCGGCUCAUCGCAUCCUGGGGCGGUAGUACGUCCCAAGGGUUGGGCUGUUCGCCCAUGAAAGCGGUACGCGAGCUGGGUUCAGAACGUCGUGAGACAGUUCGGUCCAUAUCCGGUGUAGGCGUUAGAAUAUUGAGAGGAGCCUUCUUUAGUACGAGAGGACCGAGAAGGACAUACCUCUGGUGUACCAGUUAUCGUGCCAACGGUAAACGCUGGGUAGCUAUGUAUGGAGUGGAUAACCGCUGAAAGCAUCUAAGUGGGAAGCCCACCUCAAGAUAAG